CUUUACUGCUCCUCAGCUGCAGUCUGACCGAGGGAACCAAGCUCGCAGGUGGACAGAGAGACUACUUGGCUGCUGAGUUUUGCACUGUACAUUCUACAGAGUCCGUGUCGGAAUAAAUAUGAACAGAAACUUCGGGUGCGACGACUCGAAGGGAGUGAGCACCACCCAUUACGAACAAACCGAGGUCGUGCAAGGAGGCGGUGAUGGAUGCGAUGGUGGAUACUCCUUUAGCUCUUCAGAGUCCUCUGGAGGCGGCAUUGGAGGCGGAAUGUCAGGCGGAGUGAUGCGCUGUGCGUCAAGCGGAAUGUCGAGCGGUAUGGGAGGCGGAAUGUUGAGCGGAAUGGGAGGCGGAAUGAUGAGCAGUUCGUCAAACAGAGUGGUGCACUCUUCGUCAAGCGGAAUGUCGAGCGGUAUGUCCAGCGGAAUGAUGAGCGGCAUGUCCGGCGGAAUGAUGGGAGGCGGAAUGUCAGGCGGAAUGGUGCGUUGUGCGUCAGGCGGAAUGUCGAGCGGCAUGUCCGGCGCAAUGAUGAGCACAAUGGGAGGCGGACUGUCGGCCUGCACAAUGGGAGGCGGAAUGAGCGGCUCGAGAUCCGUCCACCAAACCACGGUCGUGAAGAAAGCUGAAUACACUCUUGAGUCUGACUACAGCAACAAUGGGGGACUCUGCAAGUCUCCACUCUCACUGUUCCCACCCCACAUGUAAUACUUUUAAUAAUGCACAUGCAGCUGAAGGAAAUGGACGUGUUUCAGCUCUCUGCUUUCCUCAGCUUUCCUGACACAUUUGUGUGUGUAACUUCUCUUAAACAGCAACCAGUUGAUACAGAUCUUUAAACUUCAUCCUAAACCAGAUACUAGUAGCACAAUAACAAGCAAAACAAUGUCAUAAUUAUCAUUUUCUGUUCUGUUCGGGUUCUGAAAUAAAUGCAGGUAUUUACGGUUAAAUAACUGUCUUUGCAUAUGAUUAUUGUUUAUUCAAGUGUAAAAAUAUUGUACAUGCAUUUAUAUAAAGAUAAAGAUAUAUGUAAGCAAAUGUCUCUAUUAUUCUAACAUAAAUCCAUUACAUCCAUCCAUCCAUUUUCAAUACCGCUUAUCCUCAUUAGGGUCGCGGGGGCGCUGGAGCCUAUCCCAGCUGAAAUAGGGCGAAGGUAGGGGACACCCUGGACAGGCCGCCAGUCCAUCAAGG
Molecule: long non-coding RNA, 1183 nt
Filed under: Cyclopterus lumpus (lumpfish)
Lineage: Eukaryota; Metazoa; Chordata; Actinopteri; Perciformes; Cyclopteridae
Description: lncRNA (ENSCLMG00005018015.1)
Source: RNAcentral